This is an RNA transcript of Balaenoptera musculus (blue whale), 2581 nucleotides long. It is a transcript of the gene named protein phosphatase, Mg2+/Mn2+ dependent 1N (putative), with no coding region annotated. NCBI's taxonomy places the organism in Eukaryota, Metazoa, Chordata, Mammalia, Artiodactyla, Balaenopteridae. The transcript is spliced from 6 exons. The record is from RefSeq and is a predicted model, not a curated record.
GAAUCUCAAUGGGAGUGGGAAAGGGGGAGGGAAGAAACUACUCGGAAAGUUUUGAGACAAGGGGAGGAGCUCAGACUUGGGGAGGUUUAAGCCAAUUUAGAAUUGUUCAGAGUUGGGUGGGGUCAGUCCGAGACUGAGGAGCUAGAGGCGCGGCCUAGAGGGAAUAGGGCAGAACAAUCAAGGGUGGUGGUGCUGCCCAGAAGGUGAGCUGAACCUGGAGUGAGGGGGCUGGGCGCGGAGCUAGAGGCCGGUCGGGACUGCGAAUAUUAGAAGCAUCUGAGGCUGUGUGUGUGAAUGGAUGGGAGGGACCUGGAAGAGAAGCGACUGAAACCCGGGGGCGAGACGGAGAGGGGAGGGGUCGAAGUAAAAAAAUUAAGCAUUUAAAGCUUUUGAAACCCGGAUGGGACCACUGAUGUGGGCAGAGAUUGAACAGAGUUGGGCUGGGGAGCCGAAGCCGAGUGUUGUGUUGAGAAUACGGAUUCUAGAGAUUGUGUAACACUGUUUACUUCUGUGACUCAGUUUCCUCUUCGGUAAAUUGGAGAUGGUGAUGUAAAACAGUGUGUAGCUCAUGGUAAAUGCUAGUUUGGUACUAUUAUCUUUUUUCCCAGACCAAAACCACAAACCUCACUUGGAAGGUGCGGAAGAGAGGAGAACGAAGAGAUCAUUCCCUUCUAGUGACUCGACUUGAGUGCAAGUCAAGGGCAUAGGAAGGAGAUUUAGGUGGUUUAAAAUUUCACAGUGCAGAGGAUUAGUGGAGGUGACGGGGGCGGGGUGGCGGGGCUGUUAGCAGGUGCAGAGGGUGGAGCUUUCCUGAUCCCCAGGCUGAAGGAUGGCGGCCCUCGCCCGCCUGCUGGAAUGUCUCCUCUGGCCAGCUCGCAAGCAAGAGUGGGUGGAGGAGGCAGAGAAGAGGCGCAGCUCUCCCGACGGGCCUCAGUCCCUCCUGGACGCGCCGCGAUGCGCCCAGCGGCCGCACGGGGGUGCGGCGGCGUCUUGGGGCUUGCGCUUCGGGGCGAGCGCAGUGCAAGGGUGGCGCGCACACAUGGAGGACGCGCAUUGCGCUUGGCUUGAGCUACCCGGGCUGGGCCCGGGCUGGGCUUUCUUCGCGGUCCUCGACGGCCACGGUGGGACGAGAGCCGCCCUCUUCGGUGCGCGCCACCUGCCGGGCUACGUGCUUGAGGCGCUGGGCCCAGCGCCCGGCGAGCCCCAGGGCGUGUGCGAAGCACUGCGCCGAGCCUUUCUGAGCGCAGACGCACGCCUGCGCGCUCUCUGGCCCCGCGGCGAGCCGGGAGGCUCCACCGCCUUGGCGUUGCUGGUUUCCCCGCACUUUCUGUACCUGGCGCACUGCGGUGACUCCCGCGCGGUGCUGAGCCGCGCCGGCGCCGUGGCCUUCACCACCGAAGACCAUCGGCCCCUCCGUCCCCGGGAACGCGAGCGCAUCCAUGACGCGGGCGGCACCAUCAGCCGCCGGCGCCUCGAGGGCUCUCUGGCAGUGUCCCGAGCACUGGGAGACUUUGCCUACAAAGAGGCUCCGGGACGGCCCCCUGAACUGCAGCUCGUUUCCGCGGAGCCUGAAGUGACCGCCCUGGCACGCCGAGCAGAGGACGAAUUCAUGCUCCUGGCCUCUGAUGGCGUGUGGGACGCGAUGUCUGGCUCUGCCCUGGCGGGACUGGUGGCAUCUCGCCUCUGCUUGGGCUUGGCCCCAGAGCUUCUCUGCGCGCAGCUGUUGGAUACGUGUCUUUGCAAGGGCAGCCUGGACAACAUGACCUGCAUCCUGGUCUGCUUCCCGGGGGCCCCCAGGCCUUGUGAGGAGGCCAUCAGGAAGGAGCUAGUGCUGGACGCAGCCCUGGGACGCAGGGUUGCAGAGCUGUGUGCCUUUGGCCAGGAGCCCCCCAGCUUGAACACAGUUUUCAGGACUCUGGCCUCUGAGGACAUCCCGGAUUUACCUCCUGGGGGAGGGCUCCACUGCAAGGCCACAGUCAUCGCUGACGCUUACUCUCAGUUCUGCCAGGCCUCAGGAGAGCGCUGGAUGAAAUAAGGCAGAAAAAUUCAAGGAAUGUUGAUGACCAAUACCAAGGGCUGACUGCACUGCAGAGACCACCAGGACAUCUCUGAGGGUGGCCCAGGUCUCAGAGGAGAGAGGUUGUGAAUUGGGCCCAGAUGGCCUAUUUAGAGAUGUCCAAGGAGGUGGUGAGUGGAGCCACAUAAACUAAGAUGGGGCAGAAUGGGGCUGAGAAGCCCACUGGCACCCAUUCAAGCUCUGCCUUGGACUUGGAGGCCUGACAGCUGUCAUCCUUUAGGGACCCUCUGCCCAGCUGGGGCCUCAAUGGAAUUAAGGAAGAAAACUCCCCUUCCCCAGCUAUGCAGACUAGCGGAAGGAAGAGAAACCAAUGGAGGAACCCCAGAAUGUUUAUUUCCCUUUCUCCUACUUCCCUCUCAUAAGACAGAAAGUCUUAUGAGAGAGGGGAAAUUCCACCCACCAGCUAGACCCAAAAAAAAAAAAACCAAAAAUAACCCAAACCUCAAAACCCCAAAACCAAAUGUCUUUGAAAUAUUUAGAGCUGAAUGGACCCUGAAAAUCACC